UACGAAGGGGGCUAGCGUUGUUCGGAUUUACUGGGCGUAAAGCGCACGUAGGCGGAUCGUUAAGUCGGGGGUGAAAUCCUGGAGCUCAACUCCAGAACUGCCUUCGAUACUGGCGAUCUUGAGUCCGGAAGAGGUGAGUGGAACCCCUAGUGUAGAGGUGGAAUUCGUAGAUAUUAGGAAGAACACCAGUGGCGAAGGCGGCUCACUGGUCCGGUACUGACGCUGAGGUGCGAAAGCGUGGGGAGCAAACAGG
Molecule: ribosomal RNA, 253 nt
Filed under: uncultured bacterium
Lineage: Bacteria
Description: partial 16S ribosomal RNA
Rfam family: Bacterial small subunit ribosomal RNA
Source: RNAcentral